Molecule: long non-coding RNA, 310 nt
Filed under: Homo sapiens (human)
Lineage: Eukaryota; Metazoa; Chordata; Mammalia; Primates; Hominidae
Description: HSALNT0270084
Source: RNAcentral
ACCUGGCAAGAAGGCGAGUGACAUUUGUAUGAAGGAGUAUAAUAAUCACAGUAAUAACCAUGACAAAAUGAUGCAGGUGCUGAUAGUAGGUGGUUACUUCUUACAGUUUCCUGGGAAACCAUAGGUCAUGAAUACCCACAUUGGAAAUGACGUGGAGAACUUGAAAUGCAUGCUCGCUCCCUUGCGAGACUGCCCCGUGCCAGCUGAUCGCUGCAGUCUCUUGGCUCACCAUUUUUCCUCUGUGUUUGGGCUAGGAUUUGAGCCACGGAAAUGGGAUGAACUGAAUUCUGAGGAUGUCCUGCAUUCAGAA